CCUACGGGAGGCAGCAGUGGGGAAUAUUGCACAAUGGGGGAAACCCUGAUGCAGCGACGCCGCGUGAGUGAAGAAGGUAUUCGGUAUGUAAAGCUCUAUCAGCAGGGAAGAAAAUGACGGUACCUGAGUAAGAAGCCCCGGCUAACUACGUGCCAGCAGCCGCGGUAAUACGUAGGGGGCAAGCGUUAUCCGGAUUUACUGGGGGUAAAGGGAGCGUAGACGGCAGUGCAAGUCUGGAGUGAAAGGCGGGGGCUCAACCCCCGGACUGCUGUGGAAACUGUACGGCUGGAGUGCAGGAGAGGUAAGUGGAAUUCCUAGUGUAGCGGUGAAAUGCGUAGAUAUUAGGAGGAACACCAGUGGCGAAGGCGGCUUACUGGACUGUAACUGACGUUGAGGCUCGAAAGCGUGGGGAGCAAACAGGAUUAGAUACCCUAGUAGUC
This 440-nucleotide ribosomal RNA is filed under the name uncultured bacterium. RNAcentral's name for it is "partial 16S ribosomal RNA". It matches the Rfam family "Bacterial small subunit ribosomal RNA", at positions 338 to 795 of the family's 1533-position model. The record is from RNAcentral.